This is an RNA transcript of Brassica rapa (field mustard), 4636 nucleotides long. It is a transcript of the gene named xanthine dehydrogenase 1, with no coding region annotated. The record is from RefSeq and is a predicted model, not a curated record. NCBI's taxonomy places the organism in Eukaryota, Viridiplantae, Streptophyta, Magnoliopsida, Brassicales, Brassicaceae.
GUCUCUCCUUGUGCUUGACUUUGACUUUAAUCAUGAUCAGUUUCUCCAUCUUCUUGCUUUUGUUAGUCCUCUCUUAAGUUCAACGAUAAUCAUUUGACUUAUGGGUUCACUGAAGAAGGAAGGAGAGAUGGAGCAGAUCGGAGACGAGUUUACGGAGGCGAUACUGUACGUCAAUGGCGUUCGUAGAGUGUUACCUGAUGGCCUUGCUCAUAUGACACUUCUUGAAUAUCUCAGAGAUUUAGGACUGACCGGGACAAAGCUGGGGUGCGGUGAAGGUGGUUGUGGGGCUUGCACGGUGAUGGUCUCUAAUUAUGACAGAACAUCAAACAAAUGCAUACACUAUGCUGUCAACGCUUGUUUAGCACCUCUCUAUUCCGUAGAAGGAAUGCAUGUAAUAUCCAUUGAGGGAGUUGGUCAUCGCAAACACGGCUUGCACCCACUUCAGGAGUCAUUGGCAUCUUCUCAUGGUUCACAAUGUGGGUUUUGCACUCCCGGGUUCGUCAUGUCCAUGUAUGCGUUACUGAGGUCUAAUAAAACCCCACCUUCUGAAGAGGAGAUCGAAGAGUCUCUCGCAGGAAACUUAUGUCGCUGUACUGGUUACAGACCCAUUGUUGAUGCCUUUCGGGUUUUCGCAAAAACUAAUGAUGCUCUAUACAGUGGCUUAUCUUCACUUAGCCUCCAAGACGGUUCAAGUAUUUGCCCAUCUACUGGUAAACCUUGUUCAUGUGGUGACGGUAGAUUCCAGCCCAUCUCUUAUAGUGAUACAGAUGGGGCUAAGUAUACGGAGAAGGAGCUUAUCUUCCCUCCUGAGCUUUUACUGAGGAAGUUAGCUCCUCUGAAGUUGAGAGGAGAUGGAGGGAUGAUAUGGUACAGACCCGUGAGACUUCAGUACUUGCUCCAUCUCAAGGCAAAACAUCCUGAAGCAAAGCUACUGGUAGGUAACACUGAGGUGGGAAUCGAAAUGAGGCUGAAGAGGUUACAGUAUCAGGUGUUGAUAUGCGUUGGUCAAGUCCCAGAACUUAACACAGUGAAUGUUAAUGACAAUGGUGUAGAGAUUGGUUCAGCUUUGAGACUUUCUGAGCUCCUGAAACUAUUCAGGAAGGUUGUAAAGGAGCGUCCUGCACAUGAGACAUCAGCUUGCAAGGCUUUUAUUGAGCAGCUGAAGUGGUUUGCUGGGACACAGAUAAGAAACGUUGCUUCCGUUGGUGGGAACAUAUGUACAGCUAGUCCUAUAUCUGAUCUAAACCCUCUUUGGAUGGCUUCAAGAGCAGAGUUCAAGAUAAUCAACUGCUACGGAGACGUUAGGUCGGUACGUGCAAGAGAUUUCUUCAGUGGCUACCGUAAAGUGGAUAUGGAGAGCAACGAGAUCUUGUUGUCAGUGUUGAUACCGUGGACGAGGCCUUUGGAGUAUGUGAAAGAGUUUAAACAGGCCCACCGUAGAGAGGAUGAUAUAGCUAUCGUCAACGGUGGAAUGCGUGUGUUUCUCGAAGAGAGAGGUGGAGAGCUGUUCGUUUCUGAAGCAAUAGUUGCUUUUGGUGGUGUGGCUCCGGUUACUUUGCGUGCAAGAAAGACUGAGGAGUUUCUGAUUGGAAAGAGUUGGAGCAAAGGUCUUCUUCAAGAUGCGUUGAAGGUUAUACAAAGUGAUGUGUUAAUUGAUGAAGACGCUCCUGGUGGUAUGGUGGAGUUUCGGAAGUCUCUAGUCCUAAGCUUCUUCUUUAAGUUCUUCUUAUGGGUUACUCAUCAUUUACGCGAUGUAAAGCAAGCUUUAGAGACUUUCCCACCCUCUUAUACGUCAGCUGUGCAAUCGUUUGCUCGGCCAUGUAGAGCUGGAAGACAAGACUAUGAGACAGUAAGACAAGGAACAGCUGUUGGCUUGCCGGAAGUCCAUCUUUCAGCAAGAAUGCAGGUCACAGGGGAAGCAGAAUAUACUGAUGAUACUCCAGUGCCUCCUAAUACCUUGCAUGCUGCUUUAGUGCUAAGCAAAAUGCCACAUGCUCGCAUAAUUUCUAUUGAUGAUUCAGAAUCCAAAUCUUCACCUGGUUUUGCUGGUCUGUUUCUUGCCAAAGACGUUCCAGCAGAUAAUAAGAUUGGACCUGUGGUAGCUGAUGAAGAAUUAUUUGCUACAGAUGUGGUCACAUGUGUGGGACAAGUCAUUGGUGUGGUUGUUGCGGAUACACAUGAAAAUGCAAAAGCUGCAGCAGGAAAAGUUGAAGUUGAGUAUGAAGAGUUACCAGCAAUAUUAUCAAUCAAGGAGGCUAUUGCUACUAAAAGUUUCCACCCAAACACAGAGAAAAUGCUAAAGAAAGGAGAUGUAGAGAUAUGCUUUCAGUCAGGUCAGUGCGAUAGGAUAAUAGAAGGAGAGGUUCAAAUGGGCAGCCAGGAACACUUUUACAUGGAGCCUCAUGGUAGUUUGGUUUGGACAAGUGAUGGAGGCAACGAAGUUCAUAUGAUCUCAUCCACUCAAGAUCCUCAUAGGCACCAGCUAUAUGUUUCUCAUGUUCUUGGACUUCCAAUGUCUAAAGUGGUAUGCAAAACCAAAAGAAUUGGUGGUGGCUUUGGUGGCAAGGAAACGAGAUCAGCCUUCAUAGCUGCUGCUGCUUCUGUUCCUUCCUACCUAUUGAACCGACCAGUGAAACUCAUACUGGACAGAGACGUGGACAUGAUGAUAUCUGGUCACCGUCAUAGUUUUGUUGGAAAGUACAAGGUUGGGUUUACAAAUGAAGGAAAAGUUUUGGCGUAUGACCUUGAAAUCUACAACAACGGUGGAAACUCUUUGGAUCUUUCCCAAGCUGUUCUUGAGAUUGCAAUGUUUAACUCUGAUAAUGUCUAUGAUAUCCCACAUGUGAGGAUCAGAGGGAACGUUUGCUUUACUAACUAUCCUAGCAACACUGCUUUCCGAGGCUUUGGAGGUCCACAAGGCAUGCUUAUAACUGAAAAUUGGAUCCAUAGAAUCGCAGCUGAACUUGAUAGAAGCCCUGAAGAAAUCAGAGAGAUGAACUUUCAAGUGGAAGGCUCUAUCACACAUUACUCUCAGUGUAUUCAGCAUUGCACACUGCAUCAGCUUUGGAAGGAGCUGAAAGUGUCUUGCAACUUUCUAAAGGCUCGUACAGAAGUUGAUGAGUUUAAUAGCCAUAACCGGUGGAAAAAGCGUGGUGUGGCUAUGGUUCCUACAAAGUUUGGCGUAUCAUUUACCAAAACGUUCAUGAACCAGGCAGGUGCUCUUGUGCAUGUGUACACAGACGGUACUGUUUUGGUGACACAUGGAGGAGUAGAGAUGGGUCAAGGAUUGCAUACAAAAGUUGCUCAAGUUGCUGCGUCUGCCUUUAACAUUCCCCUUAGUUCCGUUUUUGUAUCAGAGACAAGCACCGACAAGGUUCCAAAUGCGUCACCAACCGCUGCUUCUAUGAGCUCUGACAUGUACGGUGCUGCGGUUUUGGACGCUUGUGAGCAGAUUAAAGCACGAAUGGAACCUGUUGGUUCUAAACUCAGUUUCAACUCUUUUGCUGAGCUGGCAAGCGCAUGCUAUUUUCAACGAAUAGACCUCUCGGCUCAUGGCUUUUACAUUGUUCCCGACGUUGGCUUUGACUGGAUCUCUGGUAAAGGAGACCCUUUCAGAUAUUACACCUAUGGAGCUGCAUUUGCGGAAGUUGAGAUCGAUACAUUAACCGGUGACUUUCACACAAGAACGGUCGAUAUAAAGUUGGACCUGGGAUAUUCUCUUAACCCAGCCAUAGAUAUUGGACAAAUAGAAGGAGCAUUCGUACAAGGGUUAGGUUGGGUAGCUCUAGAAGAAGUGAAAUGGGGAGAUGCAUCUCAUAAAUGGAUUAAACCGGGGAAUCUACUCACUUGCGGACCUGGAAACUACAAGAUACCUUCCAUUAACGACAUUCCCUUCAACUUCAAUGUUUCUCUUCUCAAGGGGAAUCCAAACUCAAAGGGGAUACAUUCGUCCAAAGCGGUUUGGUGAGCCUCCGUUUUCUUUGCGAUUAAAGAUGCGAUCAAAGCGGCUAGAGCCGAGAGCAAAUGGUUUUCUUUGGACACUCCUGCGACUCCAGAACGCAUCAGGAUGGCUUGCCUCGAUGAGUUUACUUCUCCUUUUGUGAGUUCAGAUUUCAUCCCUAAGCUAAUUAGUGUUUGAGACAUGAGGAUGAUAAUCUCACAGGGUUUCCCAACAUAAGCACUAACGUUUGCACGAAGUUGUGUUUAUACAUAAGUGCUGUUUUGAAUAUAAUAUAUGUCGUAAAGUAUCAUCCCUUAUGUUACGAUCUUUAAUGUGAAUGUGACCCAUCAUCAUCCCUUACAUUACAUUCAUAUGGACGAAGAUGAAACCUGCAGUGGUUGCAACUUGUUACAAUCAUUAUGAAGCAAAAGUGUAAGGAGUUUUGGCGCAUAGAGAAACUGAGCACUUAUUAUUCUCACUUGCCACCAUCCCAUAUAAUAACAAUUUAUACGAGAAAACAAAAACUUCCCAUUAGUUGGGUUGUCAGUUUCCGUCCUAAAUAUAAUUAACUAAUCAAUAAUGAUAACUAUUUUAAAAUAACUAUCGAUUUAUUUAUUUUUACGGAUCAAAUCGGAUAUCCGGUUAAAAAUAAAAAAAAUUCUGGAUAUCCAAAUACCUCCAAACCCCCCCCCCCCA